Molecule: long non-coding RNA, 1444 nt
Filed under: Oryctolagus cuniculus (rabbit)
Lineage: Eukaryota; Metazoa; Chordata; Mammalia; Lagomorpha; Leporidae
Description: lncRNA (ENSOCUG00000035689.1)
Source: RNAcentral
AUGGAGAGAGCGGGGGAGAACUUCCAUCUACUGGUUCACUUCCCAGAUGGCUGCAACAGCCAGGACUGGGUCAGGCUGAAGCCAGGAGCCAGGAGCUUCAUCCAGGUCUCCCAUGUAGGUGCAGGGACUCAAACGCUUGGGCCAUUAGCAAGGAGUUGGAUAGAGAGUGGAGAAGCAGGACUCAAACUGGCACCCACGUGGGAUGCUGGCAUCACAGACUGCAGCUUUACCUGCUACACCAUAACACAGCCCUGCUACCUUCCUUCCGCUCCCUCCCAGUAUUUGGGGGUGGGUUAUGAAGGCAGCAGAGAGUACAUUUCUUUAGUUUGUUCUGGGAUAUUCCUAGGUGCCCUGGCAGGAAUCACCAUGGGAGUCCUCCAAGGAAGAAGCAGGCAUCGCUGCCAUUGGCAGCAGAAGGAAACUCCCUGUGGAGACCAGGGAUAACAUGACUUUGUACUUGCACCUACGGUGGUGGGUCCAAUUAAGCCCCGUCCCUUUGUGAGGCAAAGUACUUAGAGUGUGAGUUUCCUCGUCUGUAAACUGUGUAGCUCAACAGUCUGGUAUACACAGUAUAACCUCAGCGACUCUAAAUGGAAUUAUUCUUUUUUAAAGUUCUUCCUGUACCGAAUCCAGCCCUGAUUCUGGUAUUCAACAAUGACCUCUUCUGGAAAAGCCAACGAAGAGCCAGCCAACUCAACUUUCAUUCGUACAAUGUGUGCAAAUGUGUCAGCUGCAUUCUUCCUGGGUCUUUGGCCAAGCUUUCUCAAGCCAUCUCAUGCCAGGGCUAGGUGCACAUUCCCUCAGCCUGAAACCUGCUUCCUCAUCACUCCCCCAAUUGACACAUCCUUCAACACUCAGCUCAGCUGUCACCUGCCUCUGGUUGCAUGUCUCUCUUAUGAUAUGUCUCUAUCAUAGCAUACCAUCAUGCUGGCUGAUAGCCACAGGGACAUCUGUCUCCCAGACUGCAUCCUGAGGACAAGGCUGUGUUGUCUUUCUCCUUACCUAGCACCUAGCCCGCAGCAAACCUGAACAAAUGUUCGCUGAAGACGGUCGGGAAGCAGAAAGCAUGAAGUAUUUGGAGGAAAAUGCAGUUUUUGCAUUUUGUGCUUUGAGUCACUCUACACAUUCUUGGCUUUGACUCACUGUGCAUUCAAAAAAAAAAAUGAGAAGUUCUGAAAUUAGAUAAGCUCUUAUGAUUCAUUCACUUAAACAUCCCCCAACCCCCGAGGGGUCCUCUGCACUGGCGCUGUUCCAGGCUCUGUGAUAUAAAGGUGAGUAGGUCUCUGCACCCAAACCGAGUGAGUGUGACAUAUCUCCAUAUCCGCUAUUCCAAGGGAGGAUCCACUGACGGUUUGCCUGCACUGAGGCUUUGGGGCUGUCUUCCAACCCCUGUAGUUCUCUGAUGCCUGCAUUACACAGGGUUGGUCUAGUGAUUGGGUAAGGA